AACAAGGCGUACCUGCGGACCUGCGGAGGGAUCAUUACCGAGUGUGGUCCCAUAAGGGGCGCCUCCCGUCCUUUGCAGGGCCUUUAGGGGCUUUUUGACUUUGCUUCGGCGGGCUUGCCCCGCCGGAACACCCUCAAGAAAAUCUUUAUGAACCGUUUGUCCGAGUUUGCUUGCGAAUAAAAAACAAAACUUUCAGCAACGGAUCU
RNAcentral lists this unclassified non-coding RNA (206 nucleotides) under soil metagenome. RNAcentral describes it as "partial contains 5.8S ribosomal RNA, internal transcribed spacer 2, and large subunit ribosomal RNA". The record is from RNAcentral.